UGGGGAAUAUUGCACAAUGGGCGCAAGCCUGAUGCAGCCAUGCCGCGUGUAUGAAGAAGGCCUUCGGGUUGUAAAGUACUUUCAGUCGGGAGGAAGGUGGUAAGGUUAAUAACCUUAUCAAUUGACGUUACCGACAGAAGAAGCACCGGCUAACUCCGUGCCAGCAGCCGCGGUAAUACGGAGGGUGCAAGCGUUAAUCGGAAUUACUGGGCGUAAAGCGCACGCAGGCGGUUGAUUGAGUCAGAUGUGAAAUCCCCGGGCUUAACCCGGGAAUUGCAUCUGAUACUGGUCAGCUAGGGUCUUGUAGAGGGGGGUAGAAUUCCAUGUGUAGCGGUGAAAUGCGUAGAGAUGUGGAGGAAUACCGGUGGCGAAGGCGGCCCCCUGGACGAAGACUGACGCUCAGGUGCGAAAGCGUGGGGAGCAAACAGG
RNAcentral lists this ribosomal RNA (429 nucleotides) under Chloroflexota bacterium. RNAcentral's name for it is "Chloroflexi bacterium partial 16S ribosomal RNA". It matches the Rfam family "Bacterial small subunit ribosomal RNA", at positions 355 to 776 of the family's 1533-position model. The record is from RNAcentral. Lineage: Bacteria; Bacillati; Chloroflexota.